GCUAAGUUUAUUCAAGAGCCUUUCGUGAGGAAAUCUGUCAAAAGCUUUUUGGAAGUCCAAGUAUACUAUGUCAACCGGAUCACAUUUAGCCACAUGCCUGCUGACACUCUCAAAGAACUCCAAAAGGACUUCCAUUUUCUGGAGGAAUUCUUCUCUUUAAUGGCUUCCCUGACCCUACCUGUUAGGCCCACUGGUUUCUCGUUAACUUGAAGGCAGAGCUCCAUUGGUGGAAUUUGUAGGCAGCCACCCUCAGGACUGCAGCUGCAUGAGCAAGUGAACUUUCUAC
Long non-coding RNA from Hemicordylus capensis (graceful crag lizard), 286 nucleotides. RefSeq lists it as uncharacterized. The transcript has 3 exons. Lineage: Eukaryota; Metazoa; Chordata; Lepidosauria; Squamata; Cordylidae. The record is from RefSeq and is a predicted model, not a curated record.